RNAcentral lists this ribosomal RNA (649 nucleotides) under uncultured bacterium. RNAcentral's name for it is "bacterial SSU rRNA". It matches the Rfam family "Bacterial small subunit ribosomal RNA", at positions 43 to 739 of the family's 1533-position model. The record is from RNAcentral.
CAGGCCUAACACAUGCAAGUCGAACGAACCUUUUAGGUGAGUGGCGCACGGGUGCGUAACGCGUGGGAAUAUACCCUUGAGUGAGGAAUAACGUAGAGAAAUUUGCGCUAAUACCUCAUAAUGACUCCGGUCCAAAGAUUUAUCGCUCAAGGAUUAGCCCGCGUCAGAUUAGAUAGUUGGUGAGGUAACGGCUCACCAAGUCGACGAUCUGUAGGGGGUCUGAGAGGAUGAUCCCCCACACUGGUACUGAGACACGGACCAGACUCCUACGGGAGGCAGCAGUGAGGAAUAUUGGACAAUGGAGGCAACUCUGAUCCAGCCAUGCCGCGUGAGUGAAGAAGGCCUUAGGGUUGUAAAGCUCUUUCAAUUGCGAAGAUAAUGACGGUAACAAUAGAAGAAGCUCCGGCUAAAUUCGUGCCAGCAGCCGCGGUAAUACGAAUGGAGCAAGCGUUGUUCGGAAUCACUGGGCUUAAAGCGUAUGUAGGCGGACUAGAAAGUCAGGAGUGAAAUCCCGAGGCUCAACCUCGGAACUGCUCUUGAAACUCCUAGUCUAGAAUCCUGGAGAGGUUAGGAGAAUUCCGAGUGUAGAGGUGAAAUUCGCAGGUAUUCGGAGGAAUACCAGUGGCGUAGGCGCCUAACUGGACAGGUA